RNAcentral lists this ribosomal RNA (456 nucleotides) under uncultured bacterium. RNAcentral's name for it is "bacterial SSU rRNA". It matches the Rfam family "Bacterial small subunit ribosomal RNA", at positions 8 to 459 of the family's 1533-position model. The record is from RNAcentral.
AGAGUUUGAUCCUGGCUCAGGACGAACGCUGGCGGCGUGCCUAACACAUGCAAGUCGAACGGAAAACAUAGCAAUAUGUUUUUAGUGGCGAACGGGUGAGUAACGCGUAGACAACCAACCUUUUUGUGGGGGACAACACUUCGAAAGGAGUGCUAAUACCGCAUACGCUCUUGAUGCCGCCUAGUGUUAAGAGGAAAGGAGCUUUACGGCUUCGCAAAAAGACGGGUCUGCGUCUGAUUAGCUAGUUGGAGGGGUAACGGCCCACCAAGGCGACGAUCAGUAGCCGGUCUGAGAGGAUGGACGGCCACACUGGGACUGAGACACGGCCCAGACUCCUACGGGAGGCAGCAGUGGGGAAUCUUCCGCAAUGGACGAAAGUCUGACGGAGCGACGCCGCGUGAGUGAUGAAGGCCCUUGGGUCGUAAAGCUCUGUCAUCGGGGACGAACGGUCACGUC